This 42-nucleotide transfer RNA is filed under the name Homalia lusitanica. Its description in RNAcentral is "partial tRNA-Phe". The record is from RNAcentral. Lineage: Eukaryota; Viridiplantae; Streptophyta; Bryopsida; Hypnales; Neckeraceae.
CGGAAUAGCUCAGUUGGUAGAGCAGAGGACUGAAAAUCCUCG